This 285-nucleotide unclassified non-coding RNA is filed under the name Chaetomium sp. RNAcentral's name for it is "partial contains 5.8S ribosomal RNA, internal transcribed spacer 2, and large subunit ribosomal RNA". The stretch from base 1 to 71 matches the Rfam family "5.8S ribosomal RNA", at positions 84 to 154 of the family's 154-position model. The record is from RNAcentral. Lineage: Eukaryota; Fungi; Ascomycota; Sordariomycetes; Sordariales; Chaetomiaceae.
GUGAAUCAUCGAAUCUUUGAACGCACAUUGCGCCCGCCAGUAUUCUGGCGGGCAUGCCUGUUCGAGCGUCAUUUCAACCAUCAAGCCCCCGGCUUGUGUUGGGGACCUGCGGCUGCCGCAGGCCCUGAAAACCAGUGGCGGGCUCGCUGUCACCCCGAGCGUAGUAGUUACAUCUCGCUCUGGGCGUGCUGCGGGUUCCGGCCGUUAAAAGCCUUAUUUACCCAAGGUUGACCUCGGAUCAGGUAGGAAGACCCGCUGAACUUAAGCAUAUCAAUAAGCGGAGGA